CCUACGGGAGGCAGCAGUGAGGAAUAUUGGUCAAUGGGAGAGAUCCUGAACCAGCCAAGCCGCGUGAGGGAAGACGGCCCUAUGGGUUGUAAACCUCUUUUGUCGGAGAACAAAACCCGGGACGUGUCCCGGACUGCGUGUAUCCGAAGAAAAAGCAUCGGCUAACUCCGUGCCAGCAGCCGCGGUAAUAGGGAGGAUGCGAGCGUUAUCCGGAUUUAUUGGGUGUAAAGGGUGCGUAGGCGGUCCGUUAAGUCAGCGGUAAAAUUGUGGGGCUCAACCCCGUCGAGCCGUUGAAACUGGAAGACGUGAGUUGGCGAGAAGUACGCGGAAUGCGCGGUGUAGCGGUGAAAUGCAUAGAUAUCGCGCAGAACUCCGAUUGCGAAGGCAGCGUACCGGCGCCAGACUGACGCUGAGGCACGAAAGCGUGGGGAUCGAACAGGAUUAGAUACCCCAGUAGUC
This 459-nucleotide ribosomal RNA is filed under the name uncultured bacterium. Its description in RNAcentral is "partial 16S ribosomal RNA". It matches the Rfam family "Bacterial small subunit ribosomal RNA", at positions 338 to 795 of the family's 1533-position model. The record is from RNAcentral.